RNAcentral lists this ribosomal RNA (589 nucleotides) under uncultured bacterium. RNAcentral describes it as "bacterial SSU rRNA". It matches the Rfam family "Bacterial small subunit ribosomal RNA", at positions 338 to 915 of the family's 1533-position model. The record is from RNAcentral.
CCUACGGGAGGCAGCAGUAGGGAAUCUUCCACAAUGGGCGAAAGCCUGAUGGAGCAACGCCGCGUGAGUGAUGAAGGCCUUCGGGUUGUAAAACUCUGUCAUUCGGGACGAACCGGAGUCUGAGGAAAUGCAGACUCUCUGACGGUACCGGAGGAGGAAGCCCCGGCUAACUACGUGCCAGCAGCCGCGGUAAUACGUAGGGGGCAAGCGUUGUCCGGAUUCACUGGGCGUAAAGCGCGCGCAGGCGGUGAUGUAAGUCUGAGGUGAAAACCCGAAGCUCAACUUCGGGACUGCCUUGUAUACUGCGUCACUUGAGGAUAGGAGAGGCAAGGGGAAUUCCACGUGUAGCGGUGAAAUGCGUAGAGAUGUGGAGGAACACCUGUGGCGAAGGCGCCUUGCUGGCCUAUUUCUGACGCUGAGGCGCGAAAGCGUGGGGAGCAAACAGGAUUAGAUACCCUGGUAGUCCACGCUGUAAACGAUGAGUGCUAGGUGUAGGUGGGCUCAUACCCAUCUGUGCCGAAGCUAACGCAUUAAGCACUCCGCCUUGGGGAGUUCGGUUGCAAGCUUGAAACUUCAAAUUGAAUUGAGG